GUACACUCCUACGGGAGGCAGCAGUGGGGAAUAUUGCACAAUGGGCGCAAGCCUGAUGCAGCGACGCCGCGUGGGGGAUGAAGGCCUUCGGGUUGUAAACUCCUUUCGCUAGGGACGAAGCUUUUUUGUGACGGUACCUAGAUAAGAAGCACCGGCUAACUACGUGCCAGCAGCCGCGGUAAUACGUAGGGUGCGAGCGUUGUCCGGAAUUACUGGGCGUAAAGGGCUCGUAGGUGGUUUGUCGCGUCGUCUGUGAAAUUCUGGGGCUUAACUCCGGGCGUGCAGGCGAUACGGGCAUAACUUGAGUGCUGUAGGGGUAACUGGAAUUCCUGGUGUAGCGGUGAAAUGCGCAGAUAUCAGGAGGAACACCGAUGGCGAAGGCAGGUUACUGGGCAGUUACUGACGCUGAGGAGCGAAAGCAUGGGUAGCGAACAGGAUUAGAAACCCUUGUAGUCCC
Molecule: ribosomal RNA, 457 nt
Filed under: uncultured organism
Description: partial 16S ribosomal RNA
Rfam family: Bacterial small subunit ribosomal RNA
Source: RNAcentral